Molecule: long non-coding RNA, 588 nt
Filed under: Homo sapiens (human)
Lineage: Eukaryota; Metazoa; Chordata; Mammalia; Primates; Hominidae
Description: non-protein coding lnc-PLXNC1-5:1
Source: RNAcentral
GGCAACCCUAGCAAACUAAUACAUGAUCCUUCAAGGCAGAGGUGAAAAUCUGCCUCCUUUCUCAAACUGCCUUUGAUCAGCCUGCUCCCAGAGCAGCCAUUGUCUCAGAAUACCUAGUGGCCAAGAGUUUAACCCAAGGAUCACAAACUCAAAUGCCUAUAGGGGCCAGGAAGAACUAACAUGAGUGAAGUGCUUGACUAUAAGAAACUGUAUUUGCCAAUUGAUAUGGUUUGGAUCCGUGUCCCUACCCAAACCUCAUGUUCAAUUGUAAUCCCCAGAGUUGGAGGUGGGGCCUGGUGGGAGGUGAUUGGAUUAUAGGGGUGGAUCCUUCACGAAGGGUUUAGUACCAACCCUUGGGUGCUGUUCUCGUGAUAGAGUUCUCAUGAGAAUUGGUUAUUCUCAACAGGUUAUUUACUGGUUGUGUAACCAGUUACAUGAGAACUGGCUAGCACUUACCCACCUCUCUCUCUUGCUCCUUCUCCCACCAUGAGAUGCCUCACUCCGCCCCCUUCAUCUUCUGCCAUGAUUGUAAGUUCCCUGAGGCCUCCCAGGAGCUGAUGCCGUCAUGCUUCCUGUACAGCCUGCAGA